UACAGAGGGUGCGAGCGUUGUCCGGAAUCACUGGGCGUAAAGCGCACGUAGGCGGACAUUUAAGUCAGGGGUGAAAUCCCGGGGCUCAACCCCGGAACGGCCUUUGAUACUGGGUGUCUUGAGUUCGGAAGAGGUGAGUGGAAUUGCGAGUGUAGAGGUGAAAUUCGUAGAUAUUCGCAGGAACACCAGUGGCGAAGGCGGCUCACUGGUCCGAUACUGACGCUGAGGAGCGAAAGCAUGGGUAGCGAACAGG
Molecule: ribosomal RNA, 253 nt
Filed under: uncultured bacterium
Lineage: Bacteria
Description: partial 16S ribosomal RNA
Rfam family: Bacterial small subunit ribosomal RNA
Source: RNAcentral